Molecule: unclassified non-coding RNA, 546 nt
Filed under: Hevea brasiliensis (rubber tree)
Lineage: Eukaryota; Viridiplantae; Streptophyta; Magnoliopsida; Malpighiales; Euphorbiaceae
Source: RNAcentral
GACUUUUCCUGAAAGGCAUAAGAACACAAAUAUAGCUAAAGUCUUGACAUACUCCUUAUCGAACUGUUUUUGGCUCUUUGCAAUUUCUAUUAAUGAAAACACCAGGUUUAUUUUCUAUUUUAAUUUACUGAUUGACAAUUGAUAAAAUAUGUUAUUAACUCAGUUUUUUUUUAUUGAUUUUUUGUUUAAUUCUGGAGGAAUGUGUCUCCAUAGCUGACUACUUUUAUGCAAUAGAUUUCCAUGUCUAGAUACUUCAAUGUUCUUUUGUUUUAAUCACCAUGUUGUACUACACAGUUGAUAAAAAGAUAUGGAUGACUUCAUUUAGGUCCUAAUUGUUGUUACAAUGUGAAAAUCAAUGGUACGCACAUUGAGUAAAACCUUGAUUGAAUGGAAUAACAAAUUGAGUUUUAUGCAGUGGAUGCUUUCUGAAUAUUUUUUAACCUGUUGAGAUGUAGAACCUUUGCUUGAUUUACAUUCUUUUGCUUGAUUUACAUUCUUUCUGUUGUUUGGAUGAAGAAAAAUUAUGAUAUUACAGUGUCCUCAUUU